Molecule: long non-coding RNA, 438 nt
Organism: Erinaceus europaeus (western European hedgehog)
Lineage: Eukaryota; Metazoa; Chordata; Mammalia; Eulipotyphla; Erinaceidae
Exons: 2
Source: RefSeq, a predicted model, not a curated record
CAAAACUUUACAUCAGGCUCAACCUGACGCUGUUGACUGGCUACGGAAGAAGGGCAAACGCUAGAAGAAGAAGAAGCAGAUGAAGUAUCAGCUGCCACAAGAUUCCAGAUGCUACCAUGAUAACAACCGGACUUCCCUGAGCAGAUGACCCCACCAAUGUGUCCUGGAGUCCUGCUUCCUCAGAGCCCUGUACCACUAGGGAAAGAGACAGGGUGGGAGUAUGGAUCGACCUGUCAAUGCCCAUGCACAGUGGUGGAGCAAUUACAGAAGCCAGACCUUCCACCUUCUGCAUCCCAUAAUGAUCCUGGGUUCAUACUCCCAGAGGGAUAGAGAAUGGGAAAGCUGUCAGGGAAGGGGAUGAGAUACAGAGUUCUGGUGGUGGGAAAUGUGUGGAGUUGUACCACCCUUCUCCUAGUUUUUGUUACAAAAAUGGCAUCC